GGGGGCGUAGCCGAGCAAGGCCAAGGCGUCGGGCUCCAGACCCGAAGACCGUGGGUUCAAGUCCCACCGCCCCCA
Molecule: transfer RNA, 75 nt
Filed under: Candidatus Caldarchaeum subterraneum
Lineage: Archaea; Thermoproteati; Nitrososphaerota; Candidatus Caldarchaeales; Candidatus Caldarchaeaceae
Also listed under: 3 other names
Description: tRNA-Trp (CCA) (tRNA-Trp-CCA-1-1)
Rfam family: tRNA
About the family: Transfer RNA (tRNA) molecules are approximately 80 nucleotides in length.
Source: RNAcentral